This 433-nucleotide ribosomal RNA is filed under the name uncultured bacterium. Its description in RNAcentral is "partial 16S ribosomal RNA". It matches the Rfam family "Bacterial small subunit ribosomal RNA", at positions 29 to 507 of the family's 1533-position model. The record is from RNAcentral.
AGCGAACGCUGGCGGCAGGCCUAACACAUGCAAGUCGAACGAACUCUUCGGAGUUAGUGGCGGACGGGUGAGUAACGCGUGGGAACGUGCCUUUUGGUUCGGAGUAACUCAGGGAAACUUGUGCUAAUACCGAAUGUGCCCUUCGGGGGAAAGAUUUAUCGCCAUUAGAGCGGCCCGCGUCUGAUUAGCUAGUUGGUGAGGUAACGGCUCACCAAGGCGACGAUCAGUAGCUGGUCUGAGAGGAUGACCAGCCACACUGGGACUGAGACACGGCCCAGACUCCUACGGGAGGCAGCAGUGGGGAAUCUUGCGCAAUGGGCGAAAGCCUGACGCAGCCAUGCCGCGUGAAUGAUGAAGGUCUUAGGAUUGUAAAAUUCUUUCACCGGGGACGAUAAUGACGGUACCCGGAGAAGAAGCCCCGGCUAACUUCGUG